RNAcentral lists this ribosomal RNA (293 nucleotides) under uncultured eukaryote. Its description in RNAcentral is "partial 18S ribosomal RNA". It matches the Rfam family "Eukaryotic small subunit ribosomal RNA", at positions 6 to 305 of the family's 1831-position model. The record is from RNAcentral.
GGUUGAUCCUGCCAGUAGUCAUAUGCUUGUCCUAAAGAUUAUGCCAUGCAUGUCUAAGUAUAUACCUUUAUACGGUGAAACUGCGAAUGGCUCAUUAUAUCAGUUAUAAUUUACUUGAUGAUUUCUUUACUACAUGGAUAACCGUGGUAAUUCUAGAGCUAAUACAUGCUAAAAACCUGACUUCGGAAGGGUUGUAUUUAUUAGAUAAAAACCAAUGCUAGCAAUAGCUUUUGGUGAGUCAUGAUAACUGCGCGGAUCGCAUGGCCUUGAGCCGGCGACGCUUCAUUCAAAUU